This 1357-nucleotide ribosomal RNA is filed under the name uncultured bacterium. RNAcentral describes it as "bacterial SSU rRNA". It matches the Rfam family "Bacterial small subunit ribosomal RNA". The record is from RNAcentral.
UAGAGUUUGAUCCUGGCUCAGGAUGAACGCUGGCGGCGUGCUUAAUACAUGCAAGUCGAACGGGGUUUGGUUGGUAGUAAUACUGAUCAGACUUAGUGGCGAACGGGCGAGUAACGAGUUGGCGACCUGCCCCGAAGAGAGGGAUAACAUGCCGAAAGGGAUGCUAAUACCUCAUAAUAUCCCGAUAGUUAGAGAAUUGGGAAGAAAGUGGAGACACGCUUUGGGAGGGGCCUGCCUCCCAUCAGCUAGUUGGAGUGGUAACGGCACACCAAGGCGACGACGGGUAAGGGACCUGAGAGGGUGGUCCCUCGCAAUGGCACUGAAACACGGGCCAUACACCUACGGGUGGCAGCAGUAGGGAAUAUUGGGCAAUGGGCGAAAGCCUGACCCAGCAACGCCGCGUGCGCGAAGAAGGCCUUCGGGUCGUAAAGCGCUUUUCUGAGGGAUGAGAAAGGACAGUACCUCAGGAAUAAGCCUCGGCUAACUACGUGCCAGCAGCCGCGGUAAAACGUAGGAGGCGAGCGUUAUCCGGAUUUACUGGGCGUAAAGCGUGUGCAGGCGGUCUGGCAAGUUGGAUGUGAAAGCUCCUGGCUCAACUAGGAGAGGUCGUUCAAAACUCCCGGACUAGAGUGUAUCAGAGGAAGAUGGAAUUCCCGGUGUAGUGGUGAAAUGCGAAGAUAUCCGGAGGAACCCCAGUGGCCAAAACCAAUCUUCCUGGAAUAUUACUGGACCCUCCCACACGAAAGCUAAGGUAGCGAACGGGAUUAGAGACCCCGGUAGUCCUUAGCAGUAAACGAUGUAGACUUGGUGUCGGAGGUGUAAUAGCCUUCGGUAUCGAAGCAAACGCGAUAAGUCUACCGCCUGGGGACUACGGCCGCAAGGUUAAAACUCAAAGGAAUUGACGGGGGCCCGCACAAGCAGCGGAGCGUGUGGUUUAAUUCGAUGCUACACGAAGAACCUUACCCAGGUUUGACAUGCAAGUGGUAGUGAGGGGAAACCUGAACGACCCUUCGGGGAGCUUGCACAGGUGCUGCAUGGCUGUCGUCAGCUCGUGUCGUGAGAUGUUCGGUUAAGUCCGCUAACGAGCGCAACCCUCGCCGUAUGUUACAAGUGUCAUGCGGGACCGCCGGUAUCAAGCCGGAGGAAGGUGGGGAUGACGUCAAGUCAGCAUGGCCUUUAUGUCUGGGGCUACACACACGCUACAAUGGCCGGUACAAUGGGUAGCCAAAUCGCGAGAUGGAGCCAAUCCCGGAAAGCCGGUCUCAGUUCAGAUCACAGGCUGCAACCCGCCUGUGUGAAGUUGGAGUUGCUAGUAAACGCGCGUCAGCUAUAGUGCGUUGAAUACGUUCUCGGGCCA